UUAAAUCAAAUUUGUAUGGAGUUGGAACGUUCGCCAACGUUUGCCGCUAGGGGCGCUGUUUCAACUGCAUACUAAUUUGAGCUA
RNAcentral lists this microRNA precursor (84 nucleotides) under Bombyx mori (domestic silkworm). RNAcentral describes it as "mir-2807 microRNA precursor family". It matches the Rfam family "mir-2807 microRNA precursor family". The record is from Rfam by way of RNAcentral. Lineage: Eukaryota; Metazoa; Arthropoda; Insecta; Lepidoptera; Bombycidae.